Marmota monax (woodchuck) is the source of this 370-nucleotide long non-coding RNA. RefSeq lists it as uncharacterized. The transcript has 4 exons. The record is from RefSeq and is a predicted model, not a curated record. Lineage: Eukaryota; Metazoa; Chordata; Mammalia; Rodentia; Sciuridae.
UGCUGAAGCUGGCCUUGACCUUGUGAUCUUCCUGCCUCCAACUACCAAAUUGCUGGGAUUACAGGUGAGGGCAAAAUGAGAAGGUCCCUUUUAUGAACUGGAAGAGGGCCCUCUUCAGACUGUGACCACUCUGGAAACUUGACCUUGGACUUCCCAGCCCCCAAAACUGGUUUUGCUAAGUUUCCCAGGUUGGCUUUGAAUUUGGAAUCCUCCUGCCUCAUCCUCUGUUGUCUCUGGGAUUACAGAAAGCUUCAGGCUCAAGUUCACCCAUGGUGAUGUUUUGCAUAGAAAAUCACAGUACUGGAGGAGAUGGCCAGGCCCAGGAUGAAACCCUUUUUGAUUUUGGAAAACAUUUGUUUUACAUUGCCCA